UCCCACAGAGCACAGGGGCCCUUGAGGGGAGGGGGGUGGGCUCCAGCACCGGCGGCCCCCGCCCCCAGAAGUGAGGAGAGGCUCCAGGCCUCUUCAACAGGAUCUAAAGGCUGGCAGUCAGGAAGCAAGGCCGCCCGUGCUCUCUGGGGCGCUGUCCUGGACAGAUCGCUGGAAAGAUGGGGCUGCUGGCAACCAUGGCCUCGGUGGAUGCCAGCUCUCCAGGGCAGAGGCCUGGCAGAGGUGCUCAUUUGUUCUCAGGCGCAUUGAUGCAGACCCCUCAGAAAGGCCUACUGUGUGCUGGCCCAUCAUGCACACUCCGAGUCUUUAAUGCAGGGUUGAAAGGGGCCUCAGUGUCCAAGGCCCAUGGGCUUCAGAGUCCAGAGUCCUGCCUUCCAGACACGCCGCCCAGCUCUGCAGCCUUCACGGAUUCCCUCCCAUGGGGUGAAUACUCCCCGCAGCCAAUGUGAGCCCUGGUCUCAGUGCUGCGAAGAGCACCAGGGCCGCCACACACCACGGCCCAGACCAGCACUCAUCGAGCAGGUAGCUGCAUGCAAGGGGCCUAGGGUCCCCUGGCUUUCCAGCCGAUGGCUGCAGAGGGCCAGCCAGCUGCUGCCCGAGGUCAGACCAGAACGAGGCUACCUGAGACUCAAAUACAGGCCUUCCAUGCCGACGCAGGGCCCCUUAGCCCCUCUCCUUCUCCCUCUCCAUGGGCUCUGCUAAGAUGUCUAUGGCUGAGAGCCGGUCUCAAGCCAGGAAAUCCUGCUGUUCUCCCUCCACAGGUACCCUGAGCUUCCAGAGCAUUCUGGCAGGAGGAGGCAGACCAGGAAGGUUUGGCUUACACUCCUGGGAGCCACUUGGCCAGGCUUUUUCCUUCCAUGUUUAGAAAGAGCAGCAUUUGCAUUUGAAGGGCACCAGUGUGUACACUCCAUUUAAAGGGUAACUUCUGAUUAUUUUCUUAAAUGGUAGAGCAAAUAUUUACAUCUUAUAACUAAAGGGCAGGUUGGAGUAUGUGGGAAUACUGCCUUUGGGCACUGCCCCUGGGCAGCUAAGCAGAAGCUUUGGCUGCCUUGGGCCUUAUGAGGCCAGAAGGAACAGCGGCUCCCCUCUGUGGGCCAUGCUGGGCGGCCAGGCCUCUGUUUGUCUGCGUGUGUGGGGGGAACAGGUGGCCUUCCGGGGCCUUUCUUGUCUGGAACACAAGCUGGGUGGGGCAGGAGCGCGCACUUCCUCCUCUGGAUGCCUUUGCAGUGUCUGGGGGCCCACUGCUGGCUCCCACCCCCACCCCAUCCCCACUUGCACGUGAAGCUGCCAGCCCAGCCACGUGGAGAGCAUGACCAUCGGCUGCCUGCCCAGUGGCUGAUGCAGCCUGUGCCAAUUGUUUAGGUUAUUAAAACAAAACAAAACAAAGGCCAGCUUCUGCCCUGGACCAGAAAGAGGGAAACGGAAGGGAGGCCGAGGGAGGGCCACCCUGCCCGCGGAGAACAGCUCCUGCCAGCUGCAGCCCUGCCAGCCCCACACUGGCCCCCAACGAUCCACGUGGAGCAGAGGCGACCAGUGCAAAGGUCCAGCGCAGCACAGCAGGCCUGCAGCGGGUGAGGAAGCAGCACGCCGACAGACCACCAGCAGUGGCUUUCAGAGGCCGUGUUCACCAGCCCUUGACCUUGUGGGUGACCCAGAGCCCCAUGGCCCCAACCUAGAGGCAUAGGCCACGGGUUCCAGGGCCCCUCCUGAGUGUCCCCACAGCGCAGCAGCGUGGUCUCCACCUUGGGUAGAGGCCAGGACAGAGCCCCCAGGAGUCCCGGAUGUGUGUCACGUGUCUGUGAGCUGCUCUAGCGAGGAUCUGCUGAAAGCAUCCAGGAUGAGCCUGCACCCUGGGGUCACCGUGGCGAAGUACUGCAGAUUGGCAGGUUGGACCACCGCACGUGGCCUCACAGGGGAGGUGAGUCCCAAGUCAAGGUGUAGGCAGGGCUGCAUGCUCCUGAGGCCUGUAGGGGGGAUCUGUUCUGGGCUGUCACCGGCCGUGGUGGCUGUAGCAGCUCUUGGUGCUGUGGACACACCCCUGCAAACUCCCUGGUCCAUCCUGCCUUCCCCCUGUGGGCCUGUCUUCUCUGUCAGUGGAUGCAGGGCCUACCUGGGUCCGGGAGGGUCUGCUGCCCAUCCUUUCCUUGGUCAUAGCUACAAAGCCCUUACCUCACAGAACGUCACUUUCCCAGGUACAUCUCUUUCAGGGGCCACCAUUCGGCCCACUACACCCAGUUAGCAGGCAGAGCAGCCCCAUCUUAAUAUUGAGCUCGUCUAACUGUCCCCAAGAGCAGGUCAGUACACAAGCCAGAGGCUGCCAGCCCGCCAUGCCCACCUCUGCUGGGCAGGGCCAGGUUGAGAACGCGGCCUGCUGCUCCCCCUGCUCGCAGGGGCUCAUGUGGCUGUGGGGUCCAUCCUGGCCCCAUUGAGCACCUCAGACCCUGAGGAAGCUCUCCUCUCCCUGUGACCCCAGCCCCACUGUCCUCACUGGCCCCCCACUUGGGGGAUCCGCCUCAUGAAGGUCCUGCUUACUAAGGGCCAGAAGCUGUCCUGGCGCUUCCUGUCCAGGGGGGCAGGGAUGGCCACCUGGGCAUGGAACCUGACCGUGGAGCCGCCUGGGACAGAGACACACAUCACAAGGCCCUGCUGGACGAGGCCCUGUCCCCACAUCACAAGGCCCUGCUGGACGAGGCCCUGUCCCCACACCCUGUCCUGGGCCUGCAGGGCCAACUGGAAGGUCAUGCAUUCAAGGCUCCAGAAGUGGGAUGUGGACAGCUUUGGGAGCGCUGUACAGCCCACCACACUCGGCCACCGGCCACUCAGCCACACAGUCUCUGCCGACCUGAAGCACGUGCAUCUGGCCUUGCCAAGUGCACAGAACCUCCUUCUGCCCCCUGCUCACCUUGUCCACAGUGCCAGGCCCAGCAGCCCAGGAGGACUGGGUGGCGGGGCUGCGGGCUGCCUUUUGUGACCCCAUGGGCGGAUCCCACGGGACCCAGCAGGCCUGAGGCUGGCAUCCUCCUGCCCUGGUACAUAGGCCUUUGUUCCAGUGUCCAGGCCCCCACCCUGCCCUGCACUGGCCAAGACCAGGCUGAGUCCAGCUCCCGGCCGCACUGUCAUUUAGUCACCCAGGCACUCGGUGCCUGAAUGUCACCAGCAUCCGAGAGACAAUGUUCAGAUCUAAAAGCUCUGGGGUCGGGAGAGCCAAGCCGGAGGCUGGAGACACCCACCUCUGGGGAGCUUUAGUUAUAGAGCACGGGUUGGCGUGGAUGAGAAUACAAUAUGUGAAUGAAUAUUGUUUUAAGAAGACAUACAAGAUUCUCAAGACAUGGUGGCUCUGUCGUGGGUACUUGGGCCUUCCUCCAGGUCUCUGGGGAGUAGCCCAACACUUCCUGGGUGGCAAGUGCGUUCGAGGAGAGUGAGCUGCCCCCAAAUGGCACCUACGGGCCUGCGGGCCAGCAGGUGCCAGGGCGUCACUGUUAGUAUCACUACUGUCACCAAGGAAAGAAAGAGGAAGGCGUGGAGGCAGGUGGGGAGACUUGGCCGCUGGGGCCUCUGGGCAUGAGGGUAAUGGAGCUGCUAUCACUCCAAGGGUCACUUCUGGUAGGAAAUGAAUAAGGACCCACAGGCCCAGGAAGAGGCCAGGAGCCCAGAAAGAAGGAAGCAGAGCCCCACCCCACACCAGGCCCACCUGCGUGGGCUCCACACCAGAAACUUCCAUUUUGUUCACCUGCCCAGUGGGACCAAUUUCCACCCUUCCCUGGGGCUGUGCCUCCUCUGGGGGCCAGUGUUCCCACUCUGAUGAAUCUGGUGUCUCAGAGGCUCUGGAGUGGGGACACUGGCAGGAGCUGGGGGCAGAAACAUGACGACGUCCUGCGUGGGGGAAUGGCACAUCUCCCCCUCCAGGCAGUCUGGGGGCCUGCCCUGGCCUCCCAUCCAGGGAGGCUGAGGACUGGCCCAGGGCCCCUGUGCUGAAGGGUCGCUCUCGGGAAGGCCAUGACUGUUGACAGCAGUGCCAGAGCCCUCAGGGAAACAGAACCAGAGGUGGGGACAGAGGAGAGGGGAAACCAGGGAGCUACUUCUGGAGACACAGACCUGGCUGGACAGGGCGGUGGCGGUGGGGGGAUGGCAGGGGAAGGGAGGAUGGGCGGGGCUGCCAAGAGAGGGGCUUGAGCGGGGGAGAAAGGGCAGCGGCUUUGUACUCCCCACCCAGCACCAUCUGCAGAGGGCAUGCUGUUCCCCACAGCCAGCGUCUGUCUGCCCUCUCUCCCUGAGGACGGCCACCAGAGCUCCCCUGCCCAGCAGAGCCCCCCGGCACACCAGGGCAGCUGGGGCAGGUUCCAGACACUGCCUCGAUGGCCCCUCCAGCCGUAGGCGAAUCCCCAUCAUGCCCAAGCCUGAUUCCCAUGGCUCCCUCGUGCCUGCUCACCGCUCAGCUUCUGGAGCCAGACCCCGGCCUUCUGGCUGAGCCCUCACUCUCCUGUGGCCCCUGGGCCCCUUGGGGCAGGCCACGUCCCUGAGCUCGGCUUGGUGCACCAGGCACAGGCACUGCGGGGACUCUCUGGGAUGUGUGUGCUGUCCAGCACAUGGUGGGACAGGCAUCUCUCCGAGUGGGACAGGACACUUGCUGGGGUUGGGGAUCAAAGAGAGCAUCUUCAGAGGCGUCAACAGGUCUGAGGGGAAUGGCCAGAGCUGCUGAGGCACGCAGGGCCUCUGAGCAGCAGCCGUGAGCCAAGGGGACCAGGCAGGAGAGUGGCUGGUCACCAGAGCAGGGCUGGGGCCUGGAAGGACUGCUGGAGAGACACAGGCUGCCACAAGGAUGCGGUGGGGUGAGGUUGGAGACGGGCAGCCCUCCCAUAUGCUUUCCUCCGUGUGGUGUCCUGUCGCGGCCUCCAGCUGGCUAAGCCCCAGCAGGAAGCUGGCAGGGGAGGGGGCCAGGUGAGGAAAAUCACCCACGUGGUGUUAAUGAUGUCCCCAGUGCUGGAAACGAGGUACUUGGCUAUCUGUUCUCAGCUUUCUGGACCACAGUGUGGGCGGAGCAGAGGAAGGGAGGAAAUUUGUGGGGCAAACAGAAAUAUGUGGUCAUUACCCCAAUAGCAGUGACUAGAUGAUGAUGGUGAUGUGGUAGUGGUGGUGUUGG
Non-coding RNA from Manis javanica (Malayan pangolin), 5158 nucleotides. The record is from RefSeq and is a predicted model, not a curated record. NCBI's taxonomy places the organism in Eukaryota, Metazoa, Chordata, Mammalia, Pholidota, Manidae.